Cucumis melo (muskmelon) is the source of this 1588-nucleotide long non-coding RNA. RefSeq lists it as uncharacterized. The transcript has 2 exons. The record is from RefSeq and is a predicted model, not a curated record. Lineage: Eukaryota; Viridiplantae; Streptophyta; Magnoliopsida; Cucurbitales; Cucurbitaceae.
GUGUUUUCAUCAUGAACAUUGGAUCAAGUUAAUUAUUUUGGUCCUAUUAAUUAUUAUUUAUUCAGGCUAAAGUUCAAUUGAAUCGAGAAAUAAGUUUAAUUUAGCCCAAAUGCUACAUAAGACUCAAAUCUAUAUGGUUGGAUCCAUAGGAUUCGAUCUCAUAGACCAACCAAGCUCAAGCUCAUAAAACCCAUAAGACAACUCUAUAAAUAGAGAAGUCCUCUUUAUUUUGGGGUUUAGAAAAUCUUACUGUAGAGAGCCUAUAGAGAAUUCUUCCAACAACAAGAAAACUCAGUAGCUCCUGAAGAAUGAGUCAUUCCUUGAAACUCAAGUUCUUUGGAGAUACAAAUAUUCUGCAAAAACUCCAAUUUCAAGAACAUCAAGCGCUUUGCUUCCUCAAAUCAAGUGUAGACAUUCAACAAGAGAGAAUCAGAGAAUCAAGUACCAGAGAUUAAACCACAUCGCAUCAAAUCAACACAAACAAAAUAUCAACACAAGUUCAACUCCACGAAACACAUUUCUCCAAAAACCUCAUACGAACAUAUCUUCCUUACACCUUUCUAAACUGGAAGUCUACCUCAAAAACUAGACUCAAAAUGGAAGCUCUUGGUACUAGUAUUAGAGGAAACACACAAGUAAAAUGGAGGUUGAAAAUGACUUAUUUAUAGGAUCCUUUGCAUGACUUUGAAAUGACAUCUCCAACUUGCAUGGUUGUCUCUCAACGCCUCUCGCUUGCUAAAUCUAGGUGUUUGCAUGCAAUAACACUUGGAUUCCACUUCUACCUCUUGCCAAAAACACCUAAAGCUUCUUUUGCUUGCAUGAUCUCUCUAUGCACACAACCAAGCCUUGCCACACACCCUCCCACGUGGCCCUUGCCCGUGUGCCUUGUCUUGGUCGCGUGACAUCCAUCUUAACACCUAGUGUGGCUCUUCUCACCUACCCAUGCUCGUCAACACUUGGCCGCAUGCUUUUGGUUGCAUGUCUUGGCCGCAUAGUCUUAUCCUUAAAGGUUCUCGUCACACAUCUUGCCGCCUAGUUUUACCUGCAAAUCCCUCUCCUCGUGUGUCUUCAUGCCUUUGGUUGCAUGGUCAUCUCGCCGAGUGUCAAAAGGCCUUGUCAAAAUGCCUAGCAUUGCUUGCCUUUGGAGAAUAACGUUCAUAAAACCAAGGAAGUGGAGAAGGCUAUGUAAGAUUCAAAACACAGAGAGGCGUUCAACCAAGAGUCAUCAUAUCCCCCAUUUCUACCUUCUCCAUUUCCUAAUCGCCUCAAGAACAAAGGCAACGAACUCCAGUUCCAGUGUUUUCUAGACAUACUGAACAAACUUCAUAUGAUUAUCCUGUUUGUGGAACUGUUAGAGAAAAUGCCUUCAUUUGUCAAAUUUCUUAAAGACACACUAACAAAGAAAAGAAGGUUGAAUACGUACGAAACAGUGGCUCUAACGCAAGAAGCAAGCGAUAUCUUCAAGAUGGAUUUCUAGAGAAGACGAAACAUCCAAAAAGCUUCGUAGUUCCCUUUUUUUGUUUAGCAUCUUUUAUUGCUUUCAUUUAUUGUUUUCUUUUAUUUCAUUAUUUUACAGCUUUCUUUAUCA